AACUUCCCCUCAUCCCAUUCCCGCUGCAGUCCUGGUGAGCCACAUCAAGUCCCAGGUAACAUGUGAGAGACACGGUGUGGAGAGCCUGGCCCCCAUGUCCCCAUGGGGCACGGGGCAGAGGGCAAGCUUCUCAGGAGGGAAGGGUGGUGAGGGACUGGGUGGAAAGCAUUAACCCCCACACCCAUCCAAGCAGUCUUUGGAGAGGAAAUUCUAAUUCUGGAGGAAUUCUGAUUUUUUUCUUUCAGAAGUGAUGUCACUCACCAAAGUGCAGUAACUGCUGUCUGCUGGCCCUUGAUAAUAGGCAGGUUUUGGGACCAUCAAGCUUUGGGCAGCUUAACCCAAACCUAGGUUGGUCUCACCCACCUGCUUGUAAAGUUUGCUUUUCCAGCUACUCCCUGUCACUUCUCUUGUGACUAGCAUGUGGGACACGUACCCACAUGUCCAUGGCACAGCUGAUGAGAAUGGCACUGCCUCGGUGAGGCUUGAUGGGGCUGGAAGUUGCAGGGCCAAAACUGAUAAAACUCCUUGGGAGCAAACUUCUGACUACUCUGAGACUUUCCACAGGUCCUGGCACCAGGAUCCCAGCAGGGUCCCCCACCCCCUGGGGAAAACAAGGCUCUGAAGUUGUAAUCUGACUUAAAAGCUCCCAGCAGGGAAUUAAUUCCCCUCCCAAGCAACAUUGUUCAAGAAGCUUGGGAUCUGACUCCUGAGGAAGUGUGGCAAAUUUCUCCUCUGAAUUUGUUGGGAUCAUCUUUUAACCCUGGCAUCUCAUCUUGCCUUUUUCGCCUCGAUUAAGGAGCUAUCUGCUAUCGAAGGUAUCGUCUUCAGGUAAUACCUUGUAGACCAUCAUCCCAUCAUCUCACAUCCUCCUCUUGGACAAAUGCAGUGCAUUUUAUGCCUCUGAAAUAGAGUGAGCAAAGUGGAGCCUCCACGUACUGCUGACUGGACCAGUACUUCAGCUGCUGUCUGGAGUGGGUACCAGCAGGGAAGAACACACAGGAGGCUGUAUAAUGGGCACCCUCACGGCUGAAGAACUCAAAUCAGAGACUUACAGGUAUGUGACAAAUCAAGCCAAAGAUCCUAAUAUUUAAGAAAACUAGGGCUGCUUUAUUUCCCUGAGAGUUGGGCAGAGCUGUAACAACAUACUAUAUUUAGAGCAUAUGGAAGUACAACACACUAACCAUGGGUUGCAUUUAUAAUAGUAUUUUUGGACAUAACUUAAAAGGACUAUUUUGUUUCAUGUUUUGGUCUACUUUUGUUGGCAAGAAGUACUUGCCUGGGUCCUCAUGAAAAGUAUGCUACCCACUGUAGUUUUCACCAUUUGAGUGCUCUCACAACUGACUGAACUUGAUACCUAGGAAAAAAAGAGCGGUCAGAAACUUCAAUACAAAUGCUAUAAUAUGUAUCCUAAUAGCUUUAAUGCUGAGAGACUGGUGUUUGGUUUUAUUGUUCAUAAAAUUUGUAUUGAUAACUACUUAAGCUAUAUUAAUGAUUCCCACAUAUGACUUUCCUAAUAAUCUAUAACAAGCCAUGAAAUCUACUAUUUGUGGUAGGACCCACCCAUGAAAUCAGGCAACUUUGUAAGUAAAUUUUGUAAGUAAUACUAUUGUAAAUAUUGUGGUAAAAUACGCAAUAUAAAUGCAAGUGUACCAUUAUAUCCACAGCAUAUGUAUUAAUGUAACCAUUAAAUGGAAUAGUACUGCCACAAUAUUAAUACAUUUUAGAUUAUAGUAGCAGAACUAAUACACAUUAGCUGACAUCAUUUUCCUACAGUAAUUACUGGAAUACUACAUUAUCCAUAAGAAACUGCCAUCUGCCUUCAAGAACCCAAUUUAUCUGCCCUUUCAGAGUAGCAGGAGCCCAGCUGGCCUCUCUGGAGACAGAGCUCCAGCUGAGGAGCAGUAACAGAUCUUUCAGGAACAGCAGAGGUUCACAGGCCAGUGUUUUGGUGAUACCAACUUCUUGGAGCUGUGUAGGUACCACUGACAUGGGAAGCUCUUUGGGAAAUGUUUGCUGCAGAAGCACCCUCACCUAAGAGCUGUGGAUGCCUGGCACUUCUGUGUUCUCUACCUUCUAUUCUCAGACAAAAAAAUCUGAUGAAAAUGCUGGAGGACAGGACUAGAGGAGUUUUGUUUUGUGAUGGUGAGAGGUGGAGGAGUUCUCAGAUUAAUUUACCAGAUUAAUGUUGAUUCUGAUCAAUGAAAAUGAUGAAAGGCCAUAAACUCCUUCUGAGAUACUUGGGGCUUUUCAGCUUACAGAAGAGGCAUAAAUACACAUUUCACUUAUAAUGUAAACUGAAUAUCCUCGUUUGACUAGUUUUAAGGGCUGCCCUAACUCCUGGCCAGAAGCAAUCCUUAUUCUCUAAGAAUUCCUAUUCUCAGGAAAAAUGAAAUGACAGACUGUUGUUGGAUGGGUCAGCCCUUGUGGGACUAAACUGAGCAUCUCCAGCCAUCAAAUGGAGGAUCUUUGUUUCUCACUGCAUGAAAUGGAGACUCUGAAUCCCACAGAGUGUACAGUCACAAUGCUAUCAGCCUGCUAAUUAAAUGGAUUUCACAAGUUAUCCCAAUUGGAAAAGUAACAACUAUUUUUCACAAAACUACAGGAAAAAUACUCUGUUCAAUACAAAAGAUUUUCUCCUUGCAGAAAAUGGGCAGAACAUGGUGAGACACUGGAAUGAGCCACACAAAAAUCCAGGAAGGUAAUACUGGUAAGAAAUGUCAUAAUGGAAUGGCUUUCCAUUCCAGGAUCUCACAUUCCCACAUGUGAUUCCUCUUAUUUUUAUGUCCCUCAUUCACAAGACAUCCAAAUCAGUAGCGCAGGACUUUCUGGUGCCUGCAAAAUCUUGCAUGAUAUUAAAAUGCUAACCGUGUGCAAAUACCAUUAAUUACUAACUGAAGUAAUUUUUCUUCUGGGCUCUCAGAAAACCUUUCUAAUUCCAUUUUCUAGAUGAGCACUUCUUAAAUGGGCACUGUAUAUCCACAACAGGAACACGCUGCGGUUGAGGCCAGCUCAAGCAUGGGCUGGGCAGAAAGGCUUAUGAUGGAGAACUUUGCUACAUCCAUGAUUUACCCCUCACGCUGACAUGCCCUUCUCUACUUCCAACAGGACCCUGAAACCCAUCUCAUUCCUUCCUCCUGAAGAGGCAGCUGGCAAAAGCUGGGUUGAGGACAGAGAUGCACAUGUCAUAGAGCUAGUCUGCUCAGUGUUCUCAGUGUUCCCUCCUAACUACAAUGGAAUGCUUACUGUAUCCCAGUCACAUCAAAAGGAUGCCACUUGGCAGGGAAACUACUGGGAGAAAGUGCAAGGAGAUGAAUAUGAAGAAGUGCCUAGUCUAGAAACACAGUUGCAAAGGCUAGUAAAUCCCUCUGAACUCUGCUCCAUUUCUGCUCUAUAUCCCAGUGUAAAACUGACUCUCAAAACAAAGUCUGGUUCUCAAAGCAAAGAGCAGAGACAGACAUCAUGGCAGGAGAAAGAUAGUCAAGCAAUGCAACUCUGAACAAUAUCUGUUCCAAGAGAAUUUUGGCCCUGUUACUCUCCCUGCAGACCUGUAAAGCACAGACAAGAAACAGCACUUAAGAAACUGGACUGUAGUGGAGCAGGUAUUUCAUCUGGCAUCAUUACAGGCAACAAAGGAAAACAAUCUGUUGAGUUCACUUCUGUUUGGAUUGGCCUGCUGCUGAAGAACUACUGCAAUUUAGGAAUAUCUGAGACAUGUGAAGUAUAAAAACAGAGAAAAUGCAGAUGAAAUAGUGAGUUGACAGAAGUCAAA
Pseudopipra pipra is the source of this 3769-nucleotide long non-coding RNA. RefSeq lists it as uncharacterized. The record is from RefSeq and is a predicted model, not a curated record. The transcript is spliced from 3 exons. Lineage: Eukaryota; Metazoa; Chordata; Aves; Passeriformes; Pipridae.